Malus domestica (apple) is the source of this 1358-nucleotide non-coding RNA. The record is from RefSeq and is a predicted model, not a curated record. Lineage: Eukaryota; Viridiplantae; Streptophyta; Magnoliopsida; Rosales; Rosaceae.
GAGACGGAGGUAGAUGGCGAUGGAAAGAGAGCGAGGGGGAGGGGGAGGGGUAGGGGUGAUGGAUUUCACAAGUGGGAGAGUGGGGAUGGUCAGAGAAAACCAUAGGGGUCGUCCGGAUCUCGAGCUGCAUGCUUGGAUUUCCAAAGAUAAGUUCGUUUUUUUAAUUCGAUUCUUUACCAUUAGCUUAGAUUGUCAUCAUUUCUGCCUUUUUGUUGUGAAUUAUUUUCGAAUUUUUUAGUGCGUUAGGUCAGGUUUUGGGGGAUUCAUCUCUCUGUUUAUUCCCUUAUUUGUUUCAUUUUCUCUCAUUUUGGGGAUUCAUCUCUCUGUUAUGUCUGUUUGUUCUUUGUUCUAAGGUCAGUUGCUUUUUUUUUUUUUUUUUUGGGGAGAAUUUGUGUUUGGUUGUCGGAUUUAAUUUGGUUUUUGCUUUCAGGAAAAACUGGGGUUCGAGUUUUGGGGUUUUUGAUGUGGGUUUGGUUUCUUUUUCGUGGGAUUUGUUGUAUUUGUACCCUUUGGGUUUAGGUUUCAUCAGAUGGCGUUUGUAGUGUUUAUAUUGAACUGUCGACUCUUUUAUUCUUUGUAGGUGAAAUUGAAGGUCAGUAAUCUCUUAAAUUGAUGAGGGGGCUACAAUUCGUGCAAGGAAAAACCAGAGAUAUGCUACUAUUUUGGAAGAGAACAGAUAAAGAGAUGGACUUAUCGAAUGAAUGCAGCAGCAAGGAAAUUUGAGCCUUGGCCUGUAGAGAUACAAUUUUGCAAGGAAGCUAGGCAGUUGCUUCUUUAGGGACUUAUGACAUAGCAUUAGAGAUGGGAAAGAAGGUGAUAUGUCAAAGGUCGUACCCAGUGCACAAGGCUCCCGCUUUACGCAGGGUCUGGGAGAGGUGAAUGUCGGCUAGCCUUACCCCCAUUUAUGGAGAGGCUGCUCUCAAGUCUCGAACCCGAGACCUACCGCUCAUGGGCGAAGGCACUUGCCAUCGCACCAAGGGCGACCUCUAAGCUGCCAAAUUAGGCAUUGUGGGUGUACCAUGUGCAGAUGAUUAGGGAGGGUGCAAUACCAAGUGAAGAAUUACACCUUGAGAAGGAAUUUGGAUCGUUGGAGGGAGAAGUUGGUCCCUUGGCAUUUUGAGGUGUAUAGUUAUAUGCCCUUGGCAUUUUAAUGCAAUUGAAAAUGCAUUACGGAAAACACAGAAGUUAUAUUGUGGAGCACCAAUGUAACACGAAAUAUAAAAUUUUCCUUCUACAAUGCAAGGAUCAGGAAAGUCAAGAAGAAUAAACUAAACAUUUCUUUGCCCAAACACGUAGUUAUAAGAACUUGGAAACAAUGUGAUCCAAACAAACCAGCGGAGAAAAGGUAAGCCGAGAAA